RNAcentral lists this long non-coding RNA (2246 nucleotides) under Homo sapiens (human). RNAcentral's name for it is "non-protein coding lnc-NFE2L2-1:5". The record is from RNAcentral. Lineage: Eukaryota; Metazoa; Chordata; Mammalia; Primates; Hominidae.
CUCCUCCCAACCGCUCCCGCCGGGGCCCGCCAUGCCGCCCUCGGCCUCGCUUCGGAGGCCGCGCAGCCGGCAGGCCGGCUUCCCUCCCGAGGCCUCCCCGACCAAGCCGCGCCUCCAAGGGGCCGCCUGUGCAGCCGAAGGUGAAGGCGAGGCGGGCGAGGGGCCCCAAGGAGGUCUCCAACUCUCGCUCCCCUCCCCCUCCCACAGCCUGUCUCAACGCAAGAGCGCGGGACGGCCGACCCGGUCCACCCGGCCUCCCCGCUCCCACCGAACCAGGCCCCCAACGCCGGCCAUUCCCCACCAACCCCCCGCUCUCCCCCUAAUACCUCCUCCCCCCGGCGGCGACGGCGACGGCCGGAGUCGGGCUGGGGGCGACCGGGCGGCGGUUUUACCUCCAUUUUGAGACCGGACUCGCCUCUUCCAACUCGAGUUCAAUAUGGGACCGAGAGGAAGAGGCGGGGCCAGUCGUCACGUGACGCGUUUUCCGCGCGCCGCCAGUCUGUUGGGGGAGGAGCGAAUUGGGAAGGGGGCGGAGCCAAGCGGGCGCGAAGAGGGACUGGACCAGCGGGUUGGCGGGCGGAGGGCGGAGGCGCGGCGUGCCGCGGGAGCGCGCGCGCCUCGCCAGCUUUCAGGGGAAGAGGGCCUUUGCCGCCGUUCGCGUCAGGGCGAGUUCCGGGACGUCAGUGCGGUCUCCGCCAAUGGUUGCAAGAAAAACUCCUCGGCCCCUCGGACCAUCUUUCCUGUUUCCAAAUGCCGGGGACCAGUGUCUGUGACUGCGCCGCCUGCCUGAGGGCAUGUACUGAAAAGCCCUGCGACUCCAACAUGUGGGACUCACAAGCACCUUGGACAGGCCUCAAAACGCGGCUGACAUACAGAAUUUUUACCAUUAACGACCUGAGGCAGGACUGGUGGAGGUCAGUUCAUUAGUUACUGAUCUCAAGAAACAAGUCAGGACUAUUUUCUAAUGUGCUUCUUUCAAGUUAGUGUGGAAAGAGCUGAUGCAUCUGUUGUAGCUGACGGAAUUUAAGGAACUGAAUAAUUGACAAGAUUUCCAGAAAAGCAGGGUCGCCAGAUAAUGCUACCUGUUUGCGAAUGAUUGUUACCGUAAUGCUCUAGAGAGCUAAUCCUUUCUCGGCCUAGUCAGAUGAUUUUAAAUCAUUUGAUUUUACAGAGCUUUAGUUUCAGUUUUUUAAAUGAAAAUGGGGAUGGGAUUAGGUCAUCUUCUAACACCCACGACAGCCAUAAAUUGAUAAUCUAUGGAUCCAUAUUUAAAGUUACUGAUAAAAAUAACCACAAUUGACCAGCCUCCCUUCCCUGUUAGGAAAUGCUUUAUAUUUUAAUUUAGCAACCCAUGUGACCAACCCUUUUAGAAUUGAACUGGCUCUCCCUAGGAAAGGUUAGAAAUCUAAUCAGUUAUAGUAAGUUUCUGUUAACAAAUGGGGAGUGGUCGACUUGGAGUUUGGAAAAGGGGAGCGUAAAGUCUAAAAGUUUGUUAAUUUAUCUAGCCGUUGCUCCAGGAGGACCUGUGUUAUAGUUUGGAAACAUUUACAAAGGGUAUUUUUGUGGGGCAGAAAACAGUUAGCAGUCCUUAAUGUAAUUUGGUUGAAAUAACCGUUCAAACCAGACUCCUCCUGUUGCUUUGAUUCCUUUUUCGCAAACUUUCUUAUGUUCUACGUAUCCAGGUGCUCCUGAUGGCCAGCAAUAGACUUGAGACAUUGGAAGAAUGUAUAGCCUUAGCGUCUAUUUAGUGUUAAGAUUUUGUAAGUCUAAUUACUGUGAAAUAGUCCUGGUAACUUUAUCGAUUCUGGAUACAAAGAAAAAUGCAAAGUGAAAGACCUUUGGAAAUUGCUAUUCACACCAGAGUACUCUAUGAGACAUUACAUAGGUGAUCAAGAAGAGUGAUCACCUGGCUGCACUUUAGGGUAUGUUUGUCCAGGUUUUUCUAAUAAGUUAAUUCUAAUCAAUAACUUUUGUUCUAAUUAGUAACUUUUGUAUAAAUGUUAAUGUUAAAUCGCGAAACAAUGUGGGAUGGGAUACUAAGUUCUCUCCAGGAACAUGAAAUGUCAGCCCAUUUAUUCACAUCUUUUUGUCCUCCCUAUUGUAUUGGUCCAGAUUUGUUGUUCAUCCUGACUGUAUGCUGUUUUUAGACAUUAGUUAUUUUUUAUGCUUUUGUCUAAACAAGCUCUGGCCGGGCGCCAUGGCUCACACCUGUAAUCCCAGGCCUUUGGGAGGCCGAGGUAGGCAGG